UUGGCUCGUCGGCGCCGCAAAAUAUUCUUCACUGAUUUUCACAACUUUCCGUUAUGCGUUUUCGUUUUAGAAAAACUUGAGAAUUUGGUUCGUUGCGUUGCAAAUGAGUUUUAAAAACUAGUUGAGCACGUACGCACACACAUUUAAAGAUUUUUCGAACUGAUUCCGAUACAUAUAUGUAUGUAGCACUAUAUAUUCAUUUGUAGAUAUAUGUAUGUAUGUGGCAUUACGAAAAUUUGUGUGUGGCUGGUUGUGUGAGUAUGCUAGAUGUGUGUAUUUUGAUACCGAUAUACAACAAUUUAUAAACGACGACAAUACGACGAGAAUCAAAAAACACAACUUGCUGUCGAGAGUGCAAGAACUAAAUGGUUGUUCGAUUGCCGCCAGGAUAAAUGCAGCCAGGACUCGCGACUGCGCUGCCCGCUGCACCAGUACCAGUAGCAGCAGCAGCAGCUCCUCUGCUCCUCGUUCUGCCAUUGGCGGCGUACAGUUGAGUACGCGAGAGAGCAAAGACAUAACAACUGCGUAGUUUUUGCAUUGGCAUGCACAGUGGAACGAAAACUACAUCAGCAUAUCUAAGGCUAGUCUGCAAAGUCUAAUGUCAUCCAAAAAGAAAAAGAUAAAAAAAAACUCUAACAUGGAUUUUACCAGGGUUGAGUGCGUGAACACGCCUCCACCUGAUCCACAAAACUUGUGAAAACACAGGAUCACUCUCGACAUCUUUCUGGAGAAGCUGCCAACUCUACUAGUCCGCAAUGGAAAAAGUUUGGAGUCGGAACGGAACACGUCGAGGACAAGCGCUUUCGACGAGCUGACAGACCUACUGUCCUGCUCCCUAAAAGUGGGCUAUCCAUGGACGAAAGUAAUGGACUACAUUAUCGCAGAUGAUAAUUACUUAUACGAGCCAGUGACUGCUUCCAACCUAUAACGAUGAGCUUGUGUAGGCUUCAAGAAUACUUGCCUUACUCUCAUCAUUGACGCGUCCAUUGUAGGGGAUCUCUAAAUGAUAGACGGUUCUCAAGCAUGACACCCAGGAACCUUAUGGUUUGUUUUGAAGGAAGAAAGGAAAAAGGAAGAAAAAAUAGCAAAGAAGGGAA
Molecule: small RNA, 1097 nt
Filed under: Drosophila pseudoobscura pseudoobscura
Lineage: Eukaryota; Metazoa; Arthropoda; Insecta; Diptera; Drosophilidae
Description: GA32643
Source: RNAcentral